Molecule: RNA transcript, 1518 nt
Organism: Sapajus apella (tufted capuchin)
Lineage: Eukaryota; Metazoa; Chordata; Mammalia; Primates; Cebidae
Gene name: BRISC and BRCA1-A complex member 2-like
Exons: 1
Source: RefSeq, a predicted model, not a curated record
GGGCGCGCUCGGGUACCUGUACCCCACGUAGUCGCUGGUUACCGAUCGGACUAAAUUCCAGUGGUAAUUUACAAGUCAAGUUAAAAUGUCCCCAGAAGUGGCCUUGAACCGAAUUUCUCCAAUGCUCUCCCCUUUCAUAUCUAGCGUGGUCCGGAAUGGAAAAGUGGGACUGGAUGCUACAAACUGUUUGAGGAUAACUGACUUGAAAUCUGGCUGCACAUCAUUGACUCCUGGGCCCAACUGUGACCGAUUUAAAUUGCACAUACCAUAUGCUGGAGAGACAUUAAAAUGGGAUAUCAUUUUCAAUGCCCAAUACCCAGAGUUGCCUCCUGAUUUUAUCUUUGGAGAGGAUGCUGAAUUCCUGCCAGACCCCUCAGCUUUGCAGAAUCUUGCCUCCUGGAAUCCUUCAAAUCCUGAAUGUCUCUUACUUGUGGUGAAGGAACUUGUGCAACAGUAUCACCAGUUCCAAUGUAGCCGCCUCCGGGAGAGCUCCCGCCUCAUGUUUGAAUACCAGACAUUACUGGAAGAGCCACAAUAUGGAGAGAACAUGGAAAUUUAUGCUGGGAAAAAAAACAACUGGACUGGUGAAUUUUCAGCUCGUUUUCUUUUGAAGUUGCCAGUGGAUUUCAGCAAUAUCCCCACAUAUCUCCUCAAGGAUGUAAAUGAAGACCCUGGCGAAGAUGUGGCCCUCCUCUCUGUUAGUUUCGAGGACACUGAAGCCACCCAGGUAUACCCCAAGCUGUACUUGUCACCUUGAAUUGAGCAUGCACUUGGAGGCUCCUCAGCUCUUCAUAUCCCAGCCUUUCCAGGAGGAGGAUGUCUCAUUGAUUACGUUCCUCAAGUAUGCCACCUGCUCACCAACAAGGUGCAGUACGUGAUUCAAGGAUAUCACAAAAGAAGAGAGUAUAUUGCUGCUUUCCUCAGUCACUUUGGCACAGGUGUCGUGGAAUAUGAUGCAGAAGGCUUUACAAAACUCACUCUGCUGCUGAUGUGGAAAGAUUUUUGUUUUCUUGUACACAUUGACCUGCCUCUGUUUUUUCCUCGAGACCAGCCAACGCUCACAUUUCAGUCUGUCUAUCACUUUACCAACAGUGGACAGCUUUACUCCCAGGCCCAAAAAAAUUAUCCGUACAGCCCCAGAUGGGAUGGAAAUGAAAUGGCCAAAAGAGCAAAGGCUUAUUUCAAAACCUUUGUCCCUCAGUUCCAGGAGGCAGUGUUUGCCAAUGGAAAGCUCUAGGAAACACCAGUCUUGAGAGGUGGCCAGCCAGACUGCCUGUCCACAUGCGUGUCAGCACAUACAGCCGCUUCCUGGAAGCCGCCUGGAAUGUCUUCACGGCAGCGUUUUGCUCACACAGCAGCUUCGCACGCCCCAGGCAGCCCCAACUGCUGAAAUCCAACUUGAGCUGGCUGGUGGUCCCUGAAUCCUAGAGCCCUUCACUUGGGGGUACUCCCUCUUUCUUGCCUCUGUUUCUUAGUUGGAAGAAAUAAACUCACAAAUUAUGGUGCAAAAAAAAAAAA